RNAcentral lists this ribosomal RNA (328 nucleotides) under uncultured eukaryote. RNAcentral describes it as "partial 18S ribosomal RNA". It matches the Rfam family "Eukaryotic small subunit ribosomal RNA", at positions 1470 to 1796 of the family's 1831-position model. The record is from RNAcentral.
CCCUUAGAUGCCCUGGGCCGCACGCGCGUUACACUGAUGCAUUCAACGAGCUUAUAACCUUGGCCGAGAGGCCUGGGCAAUCUUGUUAACGUGCAUCGUGAUAGGGAUAGAUUAUUGAAAUUAUUAAUCUUGAACGAGGAAUUCCUAGUAAACGCAGAUCAUCAAUCUACAUUGAUUACGUCCCUGCCCUUUGUACACACCGCCCGUCGCACCUACCGAUUGGAUGGUCCGGUGAAGCCUCGGGAUUGUGGUUCUUGCCGCUUUAUUGUGGCGUGACCGCGAGAACUUGUCUAAACCUUAUCAUCUAGAGGAAGGUGAAGUCGUAACA